Herpailurus yagouaroundi (jaguarundi) is the source of this 574-nucleotide long non-coding RNA. RefSeq lists it as uncharacterized. The transcript is spliced from 3 exons. The record is from RefSeq and is a predicted model, not a curated record. Lineage: Eukaryota; Metazoa; Chordata; Mammalia; Carnivora; Felidae.
GGGCUCGUCGGCAUCGUCGUCGUCGUCGUCGUCGUCGGAGGCUACCCGGGAGACCGCGGAGGAGCCUGACAAGGAGGAGCCGGCGGCCACAGAGGGAACGACAGACUAUCAGCAGGAAAACUCUGAUAAGGAGGCGCAAGUCUCGGAGAGCGGGGAGGAAGAGACGUUUAACAAACAACAAGAAGGAUCUCACUGAAAAACAUUUGGACCCACCACAGAACAGGCCCAAAAAAUCCAGCUGGGAGGAACAAAACGAGAUGAAGAAAGAAGAAAGAACUUGUUCGUUGUUUCUGGUUUCUUAUUUUCUAGAAGCGCAUGGGAAUUUUAUUAACACUGACGUCAUUCCAAACCGCAUCCCCCAAAGAGUGACAUCCAAUGAAAUCUGCCUUUUCUGUUACACUUGACAGAUACGUUUGACAGCAUGUGUUCUCAUCAAAAAUAAGUUUGUUUUAAAGUAAUAAACUGGAAGGAAGGCAGAUUUUAUUUAGAGAAAUCAUUUUAACUCCAAUCUCUCUUUUACCUCUUUGUUUUGACGCACCAUGCCUUCAUUAAAAGGUAUCACUGACUACCAUUU